GAUAACUGAAAUUUGAUACCAAGCAUGACCAUAUUUGCCAGAAGAGCAUCUGUUUGGAGAUGACGAAGAAUAAGCAGCAUAGUGAAAUUUAAACAGUCACACAAGGAUAAAAGUCCUUCCAUCUAGGAUUAUGGACACGUCAGGCCUUAAUACAUUAAGAACUUGUAAUAUAUGUAUUUUUACAAAAAAAUUUUAGAGAGAACUGCUAUUUUGGCAUAUACAACAACAAAUGUUAACAUAUGUGCAUAUUUCAAAUGACUUCAGUGCUAAGGGCAUGUACUUGAAUGAGGAUUGUUAGAAAAGUUUGCAGACACAUUGAUUUAAGGAAAAUUUACUGUGCACUUUGAAAAAUGACCUGUCUGAAGGAAUAAUUUUUUAAUAGCUCGGUGCUCUCCAAGACUUUCAAUGACAUUGCAAUUCUCAACUUUGUGUUUUCGCAUUGAUCAUCUAUAAUUAGCGAUGAAACAGUCAUAACCCCUCUAAUUUAAUUCAAAAUUUUGCAACAUGCCCUCUUUGAAUAUUGUAGCGACAUGUAAAAUAUCAUUAAUUUUUUUGCACUACAACAGUGCAAUUUUUUAUUUCAAGAAAUUGGUCCGAUUUCAAUAUAGCUUUGAUUACAAAUAGACAACUCUAAGAUACCUAAUUCUUUUUAUCUUUUUUAGCUCUUGUGAGCCAAAGGCUCAAAGAGCUAAUGCUAUGGCCAUUUGUGCGGUGUAUGUAAACUUUUUAGCUCACCUGAGCUGAAAGCUUAAGUGAGCUUUUCUGAUCACCAGUUGUCCGUCGUCUGUCCGUCUGUCUGUCUGUCUGUCUGUCUGUCCAUCCAUCUGUAAACUUUUCAUAUUUUCAUCUUCUUCUCAAGAACCACUGAGCCAAAUUUAACCAAAGUUGGUACACAGCAUCCUUGGGUGAAGGGGAGUUUGUUAAAAUGAAGGACCAACCCCCUUUACAAGGGGAGAUAAUCAGGAGAAGACAAAAAUAGGGUGGGGUCAUUAAAAAAUCUUCUCAAGAACCACAGGGCCAGAAAAGCUGAAAGUUAUGUGGAAGCAUCCUGGGGUAGUGUAGAUUCUAAAUUCUUCAAAUCAUGGCCCCCAGGGGUAGGGUGGGGCCACAAUAGGGAAUCAAAGUUUUACAUUGAAAUAUAUAGGCAAAAUCUUUAAAAAUCUUCUUCUCAAGAACCACUGGGCCAGAAAAGCUGAAACUUAUGUGGAAGCAUCCUGGGGUAGUGUAGAUUCUAAAUUCUUCAAAUCAUGGCCCCCGGGGGUAAGGCGGGGCAAUAAUAGGGAAUCAAAGUUUAAGAUAUAUAGGCAAAAUCUUCAAAAAUCUUCUUCUCAAGAACCACUGGGCCAGAAAAACUGAAACAUAUGUGGAAUCAUCCUGGGGUAGUGUAGAUUCUAAUUUUUCAAAUCAUGGCCCCCGGGGGUAGGGUGGGGCCGCAAUAAGUAUUACAAGGGAGGGAGGGUCUGGUGAAGAACAGCAGGGCCAAAAUAACUCAGGUGAGCGUUGUGGCCCAUGGGCCUCUUGUUAGAAUAUGGGCCAUAACGCAAGAACCCCUUGGCCAAUUAUUGUCAAAUUUGUCACAGUGUAUCCAUGGCCCAAGGGCUCCCGUUUAUAGUAAACUUAGGGUUGUGACCCUUAAACAAGGGGAGAUAAUUAGGUAAAUAAAACCAAAAGUACUGGUUGCUAAAAAAUCGUCUUCUAAAGAACCACUGGGCAGAAUAUCACCAAACUUUCACAAAAGGAUGAGGAUAUAUUGUAGAUUAAAAUUUGCACAGGGAAUCGCUCUGAGACAAAGGGCUUGGUCUCAAGGUCACUUCAAAGUUGACCAAAAAUUACAUUUAUUAAAAUGUUGAUGUUUUGCUUACUAUAAGGACUAGGAUCAUCAAAUCUUGUCAGUUGAUGCAUCUAAGGACCUUGUAUCAUGUUGACUCAAAAGUAGUUCAUGGUUACCUACUUUUUAAAUUUUGCAGCCAUUCUUUUUCAAAAUGAUUUAGAGGCAUAUUUUGAACAGUUUCAGGCCUAUUAUCAUCAAAUUUUUUCAGUUGACAAAUGACAGAAUGAGACCACUAUUCUUUAAAUUUGCUUGUUGUGUCUUAGGCUCAUAAUUCACAUUAUAUCUACUGCAAUCAACUUCAAUGUAUUCAAAUAUUUUUAAUGAAUUCUUAUUAAAAAAAUUUACUUGAAUAUAAGUGUAAUAUACAUGUACAUGUAAAAGAUUAUUUUAACAUGUUACAAAAAUUUAAAUAUAUGUGUCUUUUUCCCCCCUUGUAAAACAUUUGAAUAAAUGAACCCAAGAAGUACAGUAAAA
Molecule: long non-coding RNA, 2305 nt
Organism: Saccostrea echinata
Lineage: Eukaryota; Metazoa; Mollusca; Bivalvia; Ostreida; Ostreidae
Exons: 2
Source: RefSeq, a predicted model, not a curated record